Molecule: ribosomal RNA, 343 nt
Filed under: Ficopomatus enigmaticus
Lineage: Eukaryota; Metazoa; Annelida; Polychaeta; Sabellida; Serpulidae
Description: eukaryotic LSU rRNA
Rfam family: Eukaryotic large subunit ribosomal RNA
Source: RNAcentral
AUAUUAGUAAGCGGAGGAAAAGAAACUAACAAGGAUUCCCCGAGUAACGGCGAGUGAAACGGGAAAAGCCCAUCCCUGAAUCCCCUGGUCGCAUGGCCAGUGUGGAAAUGUGGGGUAUGGGAGUGCCCAUGCUGCGACUGCAGUCUGUCCAGGUUCUCCUGAUUGAGGCUUUUACCCAGAGCGGGUGUAAGGCCCAUAUGACGGACUGUGUUGCGGCUCGGGCGCUCCUAGGAGUCGGGUUGCUUGAGAGUGCAGCCCAAAGUGGGUGGUAAAUUCCAUCUAAGGCUAAAUACAUGCACGAGACCGAUAGUAAACAAGUACCGUGAGGGAAAGUUGAAAAGAA